Leptidea sinapis is the source of this 274-nucleotide long non-coding RNA. RefSeq lists it as uncharacterized. NCBI's taxonomy places the organism in Eukaryota, Metazoa, Arthropoda, Insecta, Lepidoptera, Pieridae. The record is from RefSeq and is a predicted model, not a curated record. The transcript has 3 exons.
GAUGGCUCUCUCUGUGCUUUUUCUAAAAUAAUGGCUAUGUGAGCAACUUUAUUUUAGAAAAGGCAUCAACUUCAACAACAUUCCAACCUGUGGCUGCAGAUGCAUCUCAACAAUUUACUUCAGCAAGGUGCUUGAUGCUGGAACAUAAUUAUAGUUUUAUUAGCAAGCCUAAAAGAACAGCUGGAAAAGAUCUAAUGGCUCCACAGUGCACAAAGAUCAAGCGUAUUAUGGUGAACAUAUGUGGGUGAAGACGAAACAAAAACAGCUGCCCAAC